RNAcentral lists this ribosomal RNA (119 nucleotides) under Olea europaea subsp. europaea. The record is from RNAcentral. Lineage: Eukaryota; Viridiplantae; Streptophyta; Magnoliopsida; Lamiales; Oleaceae.
GCGUAGGGCCAUACUAGGCAGAAUGCACCGCUUCUCGUCAGAUCAGCGAAGUUAAGCUGCCUCAGGCCGGGUUAGUACUUGGGAGGGAGACCACCUGGGAACCCCCGGUGUCCUACGCU